GUGUCUGAAAUGUUCUAGCUAUCAGCACUAUACAGUGAAACUGCGAAUGGCUCAUUAAAUCAGUUAUCGUUUAUUUGAUAGUACCUUACUACUUGGAUAACCGUGGUAAUUCUAGAGCUAAUACAUGCUAAAAAUCCCGACCUCUGGAAGGGAUGUAUUUAUUAGAUAAAAAACCAAUGCCUUCGGGCUCUUUGGUGAUUCAUGAUAACUUAACGAAUCGCAUGGCCUUGCGCCGGCGAUGGUUCAUUCAAAUUUCUGCCCUAUCAACUUUCGAUGGUAGGAUAGUGGCCUACCAUGGUUUCAACGGGUAACGGGGAAUUAGGGUUCUAUUCCGGAGAGGGAGCCUGAGAAACGGCUACCACAUCCAAGGAAGGCAGCAGGCGCGCAAAUUACCCAAUCCCAAUUCGGGGAGGUAGUGACAAUAAAUACUGAUACAGGGCUCUUUCGGGUCUUGUAAUUGGAAUGAGUACAAUUUAAAUCCCUUAACGAGGAACAAUUGGAGG
This 503-nucleotide ribosomal RNA is filed under the name Geniculifera effusa. RNAcentral describes it as "SSU rRNA". It matches the Rfam family "Eukaryotic small subunit ribosomal RNA", at positions 62 to 554 of the family's 1831-position model. Lineage: Eukaryota; Fungi; Ascomycota. The record is from RNAcentral.